This 468-nucleotide ribosomal RNA is filed under the name uncultured bacterium. Its description in RNAcentral is "partial 16S ribosomal RNA". It matches the Rfam family "Bacterial small subunit ribosomal RNA", at positions 28 to 507 of the family's 1533-position model. The record is from RNAcentral.
GACGAACGCUGGCGGCGUGCUUAACACAUGCAAGUCGAACGGAAAGGCCCUGCUUUUGUGCGGUGCUCGAGUGGCGAACGGGUGAGUAACACGUGAGUAACCUGCCCUUGACUUUGGGAUAACUUCAGGACACUGGGGCUAAUACCGGAUAGGAGCUCCUGCUGCAUGGUGGGGGUUGGAAAGUUUCGGCGGUUGGGGAUGGGCUCGCGGCUUAUCAGCUUGUUGGUGGGGUAGUGGCUUACCAAGGACUUGACGGGUAGCCGGCCUGAGAGGGUGACCGGCCAAAUUGGGACAGAGAUACGGCCCAGACUCCUACGGGAGGCAGCAGUGGGGAAUAGUGCACGAUGGGCGGAAGUCUGAUGCAGCAACGCCGCGUGAGGGAUGACGGCCUUCUGGUUGUAAACCGCUUUCGCCUGUGACGGAGGGUGAGUGACGGUAAUGGGUAAAGAAGCACCGGCUAACUACGUG